RNAcentral lists this small RNA (129 nucleotides) under Providencia alcalifaciens. RNAcentral's name for it is "RtT sRNA". It matches the Rfam family "RtT RNA". Rfam says of the family: This family represents a bacterial cis-regulatory element known as RtT RNA. The exact function of RtT is unknown although it is thought that it may be involved in changing the cellular response in relation to amino acid starvation. The record is from RNAcentral. Lineage: Bacteria; Pseudomonadati; Pseudomonadota; Gammaproteobacteria; Enterobacterales; Morganellaceae.
AUAUUGUGCGUUGAGUGCAGGUGAGAAGCUGCGUUCAGGUUCGAGCCGAGCGAAGCGAGACAGCGUUGCGCUUGCCGCAACGACCCGAAGGGCGAGGGCAGAGCCCGAGUCAUCCUGCACGACCCACCA